Molecule: ribosomal RNA, 259 nt
Filed under: uncultured Leptotrichia sp.
Lineage: Bacteria; Fusobacteriati; Fusobacteriota; Fusobacteriia; Fusobacteriales; Leptotrichiaceae
Description: partial 16S ribosomal RNA
Rfam family: Bacterial small subunit ribosomal RNA
Source: RNAcentral
UGGCGGACGGGUGAGUAACGCGUAAAGAACUUGCCCUUUAGACUGGGAUAACAGAGGGAAACUUCUGAUAAUACUGUAUAAGUUAGUAUAUCGCAUGAUAUGCAAAUGAAAGCUACGGCACUAAAGGAGAGCUUUGCGUCCUAUUAGCUAGUUGGUAAGGUAAGAGCUUACCAAGGCGAUGAUAGGUAGCCGGCCUGAGAGGGUGGACGGCCACAAGGGGACUGAGAUACGGCCCUUACUCCUACGGGAGGCAGCAGGA